GACGAACGCUGGCGGCGUGCUUAACACAUGCAAGUCGAACGGAAAGGCCCUGCUUUUGUGGGGUGCUCGAGUGGCGAACGGGUGAGUAACACGUGAGUAACCUGCCCUGGACUUUGGGAUAACUUCAGGAAACUGGGGCUAAUACCGGAUAGGAGCUCCUGCUGCAUGGUGGGGGUUGGAAAGUUUCGGCGGUUGGGGAUGGACUCGCGGCUUAUCAGCUUGUUGGUGGGGUAGUGGCUUACCAAGGCUUUGACGGGUAGCCGGCCUGAGAGGGUGACCGGCCACAUUGGGACUGAGAUACGGCCCAGACUGCUACGGGAGGCAGCAGUGGGGAAUAUUGCACAAUGGGCGGAAGCCUGAUGCAGCAACGCCGCGUGCGGGAUGACGGCCUUCGGGUUGUAAACCGCUUUCGCCUGUGACGAAGCGUGAGUGACGGUAAUGGGUAAAGAAGCACCGGCUAACUACGUG
Molecule: ribosomal RNA, 468 nt
Filed under: uncultured bacterium
Lineage: Bacteria
Description: partial 16S ribosomal RNA
Rfam family: Bacterial small subunit ribosomal RNA
Source: RNAcentral